This 269-nucleotide ribosomal RNA is filed under the name uncultured prokaryote. RNAcentral's name for it is "partial 16S ribosomal RNA". It matches the Rfam family "Bacterial small subunit ribosomal RNA", at positions 524 to 792 of the family's 1533-position model. The record is from RNAcentral.
UACGUAGGUGGCGAGCGUUGUCCGGAUUUACUGGGCGUAAAGGGAGCGUAGGCGGACUUUUAAGUGAGAUGUGAAAUACCCGGGCUCAACUUGGGUGCUGCAUUUCAAACUGGAGGUCUAGAGUGCAGGAGAGGAGAAUGGAAUUCCUAGUGUAGCGGUGAAAUGCGUAGAGAUUAGGAAGAACACCAGUGGCGAAGGCGAUUCUCUGGACUGUAACUGACGCUGAGGCUCGAAAGCGUGGGGAGCAAACAGGAUUAGAUACCCCCGUA